Molecule: ribosomal RNA, 445 nt
Filed under: uncultured bacterium
Lineage: Bacteria
Description: partial 16S ribosomal RNA
Rfam family: Bacterial small subunit ribosomal RNA
Source: RNAcentral
GUAAGGAAUAUUGGUCAAUGGACGAAAGUCUGAACCAGCCAUGCCGCGUGGAGGAUGAAGGUCCUCUGGAUUGUAAACUUCUUUUAUAUGGGACGAAAAAAGGCUUUUCUAAGUCGUCUGACGGUACCAUAUGAAUAAGCACCGGCUAACUCCGUGCCAGCAGCCGCGGUAAUACGGAGGGUGCAAGCGUUAUCCGGAUUCACUGGGUUUAAAGGGUGCGUAGGUGGAUUGCCAAGUCCGUGGUGAAAUCUUCGAGCUUAACUCGGAAACUGCCAUGGAUACUGGUGAUCUUGAAUAUCGUGGAGGUUAGCGGAAUAUGUCAUGUAGCGGUGAAAUGCUUAGAUAUGACAUAGAACACCAAUUGCGAAGGCAGCUGGCUACGCGAAUAUUGACACUCAGGCACGAAAGCGUGGGGAUCAAACAGGAUUAGAUACCCUGGUAGUCC